Molecule: ribosomal RNA, 556 nt
Filed under: Trichoderma asperellum
Lineage: Eukaryota; Fungi; Ascomycota; Sordariomycetes; Hypocreales; Hypocreaceae
Description: eukaryotic LSU rRNA
Rfam family: 5.8S ribosomal RNA (bases 183-323)
Source: RNAcentral
AGGGUUCCCCGGCUUCAGAAAUUAACCGAGUUUCAAACUCCCAACCAAUGUGACGUCACCAAAUUGUUGCCUGGCUGGGUACGCCCAGGGUGCGUCGAGCCCAGGUCCGGCGUUGCAGAUGCCCUCCUACUCUCAUGUAGUCCCUGCGGAGUACUCCACAGCUUGAGCAAAAUUAUACGUUCAAAACCCCAAUACGGAUUCCCAUUUGGCACGACAUGGCGCAGCGAAUGCUUAUGUAUGUGAAUGCAGAAUUAGUGUUUCAUCGAAUCUUGAACGCACAUCGCGCCCGCCAGUAUUUGGCGGGCACGCCUGUCCGAGCGUCAUUUAACCCUCGAAUCCUCGGAAGAUCGGCGUUGGGGAUCGGGACCCCUCACACGGGUGCCGGCCCCUAAAUACAGUGGCGGUCUCGCCGCAGCCUCUCCUGCGCAGUAGUUUGCACAACUCGCACCGGGAGCGCGGCGCGUCCACGUCCGUAAAACACCCAACUUUCUGAAAUGUUGACCUCGGAUCAGGUAGGAAUACCCGCUGAACUUAAGCUACGAAGAGGUUGGAAAAA